GGGGGUGACUGGAUUCGACGGGGAUGUCGAAGUGAAGGCAGCAGGUGGAGUUUGCCGUACACUCCUAAAUCAGGCGGCAAAGCACGAUAAGUGCCAACGAACUAGCUUACGCUGCUCCCUCUCUAAACUAAGAAGGGAGCCGUUCGCCCAAGCCUCCGCCCGUAGGGCUCGGGACGAGCGUCGAACAUGCGGGCUGGCUCUUCAGACUGCCUCCGGCUGAGGAGCGAGAACUUCGGGGGCUCAGGCAUGGCGAUCCGGUCUUGCGGGAGCACCGUGCCCUAGAAUAAAGCGCAAGACUAUACCUGUAGAAGCCAAGCGGACGCAUCUUCGGACCCGGGUUCAAGUCCCGGCACCUCCACCA
This 361-nucleotide transfer-messenger RNA is filed under the name Candidatus Fraserbacteria bacterium RBG_16_55_9. It matches the Rfam family "transfer-messenger RNA". From Rfam's summary of the family: Bacterial tmRNA, also known as 10Sa RNA or SsrA, is named for its dual tRNA and mRNA-like properties. RNAcentral also lists the same sequence under 1 other name. The record is from RNAcentral. Lineage: Bacteria; Candidatus Fraseribacteriota.